RNAcentral lists this ribosomal RNA (519 nucleotides) under uncultured bacterium. RNAcentral's name for it is "bacterial SSU rRNA". It matches the Rfam family "Bacterial small subunit ribosomal RNA", at positions 24 to 518 of the family's 1533-position model. The record is from RNAcentral.
UCAGGACGACGCUGCGGCGUGCCUAAUACAUGCAAGUCGAACGGUCUUUCUAUGGAAGCUUGCUCCACUGAGAAGAUAGUGGCGAACGGGUGAGUAACACGUGGGUAACCUGCCCAUAAGAGGGGGAUAACAUCCGGAAACGGGUGCUAAUACCGCAUAGUUUUCUUGAUCGCAUGAUCGGGAAAGGAAAGACGGCCUUUGUGCUGUCGCUUAUGGAUGGACCCGCGGCGUAUUAGUUAGUUGGUGAGGUAACGGCUCACCAAGACGAUGAUACGUAGCCGACCUGAGAGGGUGAUCGGCCACAUUGGGACUGAGACACGGCCCAAACUCCUACGGGAGGCAGCAGUAGGGAAUCUUCCGCAAUGGACGAAAGUCUGACGGAGCAACGCCGCGUGAGUGAAGAAAAGGUUUUCGGAUCGUAAAACUCUGUUGUCAGAGAAGAACAAGUUGGAGAGUAACUGCUCCAGCCUUGACGGUAUCUGACCAGAAAGCCACGGCUAACUACGUGCCAGCCGCUGC